RNAcentral lists this ribosomal RNA (257 nucleotides) under uncultured bacterium. RNAcentral describes it as "partial 16S ribosomal RNA". It matches the Rfam family "Bacterial small subunit ribosomal RNA", at positions 15 to 266 of the family's 1533-position model. The record is from RNAcentral.
GAUCAUGGCUCAGGAUGAACGCUAGCUACAGGCUUAACACAUGCAAGUCGAGGGGCAGCAUGACCUAGCAAUAGGUUGAUGGCGACCGGCGCACGGGUGAGUAACACGUAUCCAACCUACCGGUUAUUCCGGGAUAGCCUUUCGAAAGAAAGAUUAAUACCGGAUAGUAUAACGAGAAGGCAUCUUUUUGUUAUUAAAGAAUUUCGUAUAACCGAUGGGGAGUGCGUUCCAUUAGUUUGUUGGCGGGGUAACGGCCC